ACUCCUACGGGAGGCAGCAGUAGGGAAUCUUCCACAAUGGGCGCAAGCCUGAUGGAGCAACACCGCGUGAGUGAAGAAGGGUUUCGGCUCGUAAAGCUCUGUUGUUAAAGAAGAACACGUAUGAGAGUAACUGUUCAUACGUUGACGGUAUUUAACCAGAAAGUCACGGCUAACUACGUGCCAGCAGCCGCGGUAAUACGUAGGUGGCAAGCGUUAUCCGGAUUUAUUGGGCGUAAAGAGAGUGCAGGCGGUUUUCUAAGUCUGAUGUGAAGGCCUUCGGCUUAACCGGAGAAGUGCAUCGGAAACUGGAUAACUUGAGUGCAGAAGAGGGUAGUGGAACUCCAUGUGUAGCGGUGGAAUGCGUAGAUAUAUGGAAGAACACCAGUGGCGAAGGCGGCUACCUGGUCUGCAACUGACGCUGAGACUCGAAAGCAUGGGUAGCGAACAGGAUUAGAUAAA
This 459-nucleotide ribosomal RNA is filed under the name uncultured bacterium. Its description in RNAcentral is "bacterial SSU rRNA". It matches the Rfam family "Bacterial small subunit ribosomal RNA", at positions 335 to 786 of the family's 1533-position model. The record is from RNAcentral.